RNAcentral lists this unclassified non-coding RNA (352 nucleotides) under soil metagenome. RNAcentral's name for it is "partial contains 5.8S ribosomal RNA, internal transcribed spacer 2, and large subunit ribosomal RNA". The stretch from base 1 to 120 matches the Rfam family "5.8S ribosomal RNA", at positions 35 to 154 of the family's 154-position model. The record is from RNAcentral.
GAAGAAGAACGUAGCGAAAUGCGAUAAGUAAUGUGAAUUGCAGAAUUCAGUGAAUCAUCGAAUCUUUGAACGCACAUUGCGCCCGCCAGUAUUCUGGCGGGCAUGCCUGUUCGAGCGUCAUUUCAACCCUCAGGCCCCCAGUGCCUGGUGUUGGGGAUCGGCCCAGCCUUCCUGUAAGGCCGCCGGCCCCGAAAUCUAGUGGCGGUCUCGCUGUAGUCCUCCUCUGUGUAGUAGCACAACCUCGCAGUUGGAACGCGGCGGUGGCCAUGCCGUUAAACACCCCACUUCUGUAAGUUGACCUCGGAUCGGGUAGGAAUACCCGCUGAACUUAAGCAUAUCAAUAAGCGGAGGA